CCCCGGAAGGCAUCCCAUCUUUCUUUAACAAGUAUCGGUAUGUUUUCGGAUUCGUUUCGUUCAUGUGAUAUGUGCAAAUCUUGGAGCGUCUUUUGCAUUUAGUUUUAAUUUUUCCUUUAUGCACCAUGCUGGUAUGAGAUACUACAUGGUUGAUUUAUAGAAUGCUCAUUGCACUUCACUUAUAUCCUUCGAGUAUGGCUUUAUAGAAUGCUUCAUGUGCUUCACUUAUAUCAUUUGAAGUGUGGAUUUCCUGUUUCUCUUCACAUAGAAAACAGAUGUUCAUAGAAUGCUCUUUUGCUUCACUUAUAUUUGUUAGGGAAUAAUCUUUUUUUAGAAAAAAUUUAACUCUCAUGAUUCACUUAUAUCUAUUUAGAGAGUCAACAAGAAUUGGUCAAUUGCAUGGUUAGUCAUAAAAUCCUCCAUAAAAGUUGUGGAUCACUGAAUAUGAUAUGUUUGAUUCCUUGCAAUAGUUUUGUGAUAUAGAGAUGGAAUAUGUGGGAGGUACUAGUGGAUGAUUGUGUUUAGUAAGAUAUUGGUGUUAAGGUUUGUGAUUCCCGAAGCAUGCAUGUAUAAUCUCCCGUUAUGCUAUGAAAGUUGGAGCACAAUUUAUCCUUGAUUGUCUAUCUUUGUGUGAAGAUCGGGGGCGCGCGAUGGUUAACUCCUACCAACCUCCCCCCUAGGAGCAUGCAUAGUAUUACUUUGCUUCGAGGGCUAAUAAACUUUUGCAAUAAGUAUAUGAGUUCUUUAUGACUAAUGUGAGUCCAUGGAUUAUACGCACUCUUACCUUUCCGCAACUUGCUAGCCUCUACGGUAUCGUGCAUUGCCCUUUCUCACCUCGAGACAUGGUGUAAACUUCGCCGGUGCAUCCAAACCCCGUGAUAUGAUACACUCUAUCACACAUAAGCCUUAUUAUAUCUUCCUCAAAACAGCCACCAUACCUACCUAUUAUGUCUUUUCCAUGGCCAUUCCGAGAUAUAUUGCCAUGCAACUUCCACCGCUUCCGUUUGAUGACUUGAGCAUUCAUUUUCAUAUUGCUUUGCAUGAUCAUAAGAUAGCUAGCAUGAUAUUUCCAUGGCUUGUCUGUUUUUUUGAUAUCGUUGUUAUGCUAGAUCAUUGCACAUCCUAGUACACUGCCAGAGGCAUUCAUAUAGAGUCAUAAUUUGUCAUAGGUAUCGAGUUGUAAUUUUUAUUUCUUUUGAGUUAUAAGUAAAUAGAAGUGUGAUGAUCAUCAUUAUUCAUUUUUAGAGGAGUGCCCCAGUGAGGAAAGUAUGAUGGACACUAUGAUUCCCCCACAAGUCGGGAUGAGACUUCGGACAAUGAGAGAAAGAAAAAAAAGAGAAAAAGGAAAAAAAUAGAAAAAAUAUAAAAAAUAAACAAAAAAUAAACAAAAAGAGAAGGGGCAUUGUUAGUAUCCUUUACCACACUUGUGCUUCAAAGUAGCACCAUGUUUUUCAUAUGGAGAGUCUCAUAUGUUGUCACUUUCAUAUACUAGUGGGAAUAUUUCAUUAUAGGAUUAGAUGCACACCCACUUAGUUUUCACAUUGAGCUUUCAUACACUUGUAGCUCUUAGUGCAUUCGUUGCAUGGCAAUCCCUACUCCUCGCAUUGAUAUCAAUUGAUGGGCAUCUCCAUAGCCCGUUGGUUAGCCACGUUGAUGUGAGACUUUCUUACUUUUUUGUCUUCUCUAUAUUUACCUCUAUCAUCAUACUCUAUUCCACUUAUAAUUCUAUAUACAUGGCUUGCGCUCAUGUAUUGCGUGAGGGUUGAAAAAGUUGAAGCGCGUUAAAAAGUAUGAACCAAUUGCUUGGCUGACACCGGGGUAGUACAUGAUUUCUACUUUGUGUUAAGAAGACAAAGCAUGACAAGGCUAUAUGAUUUUGUAGGGAUAACAUUCUUGAGCAUUUGAUAUUCUAAAAGACAUGAUUGUUUGUUGGGAUGCCUGAGUAUUGCUGUCUUCAUGUCAAAUUAUAGACUAUUGCUUUGAAUCACUUAUGUCUAAAUAUUCAUGCCAUGACUAGAUAUAUGAUCAAGUUUAUGUUAGGUAGCAUUCCACAUCAAAAAGUUAUAUUUUUUAUCAUUUACCUACUCGAGGACGAUCAGGAAUUAAGCUUGGGGAUGCUGAUACGUCUUCAUCCUAUCUAUAAUUUUUGAUUGUUUCACGCCAAUAUUAUACAGCUUUCACAUACUUUUGGCAACUUUUUAUGUGAUUUAUUUGGACUAACUUACUUAUCCAGUGCCAGUUCCUGUUUGUUGCAUGUUUUUGUAUCGCAGAAAAUCCAUAUCAAACAAAGUCCAAAGGUGAUGAAACUCCAUGAAGAAUUAUUUUGGAAUAUUUGCGAAUUUUAGGAGUUGGAAUCACCGCAAACGGAGGCCCACACGGACCACGAUAUACCAGGGCGCGCCCCAGGCCCCUAGCGCGUGGUGGUGGGUGCUGCUCACCUCGUACGUCGGUUGGAGCUGCACUUCGGGCGCAAGGAAGCUUAUACCCGGAAAAAAAAUCAUGUGAAAAUAUCAGUACAAUCGGAGUUACGGAUCUCCGAGAAUAUAAGAAACGGUUUUCGGCCAGAUCUAGGGAGCGGGAAACAAAACAGAACAGAGAGGAAGAUCCAAUCUCGGAGGGGUUCCCGCCCCUCCGCCGCCAUGGAGGCCAUGGACCAGAGGGGAAACCCUCCUCCCAUCUAGGGAGGAGGCCAAGGAAGAAGAAGAAGGAGGGGACUCUCUCCCUCUCUCUCCCGGUGGCGCCGGAGUGCCGUCGGGGCUAGGAUCAUGAUGGCUAUCUUCAUCAACAAUCUUGCUACUGUCAACCCAACUCUCUCCCCCUCUAUGCAGCGGUGUAACACCCCUUCGCCCCGCUGUAAGCUCUACUUAAACAUGGUGCUCAACUCCAUAUAUUAUUUCCCAAUGAUGUAUGGUUAUCCUAUGAUGUUUGAGUAGAUCUAUUUUGUCCUAUGGGUUAAUUGUAACAACCCUAGUCAGUGCUUGCAUUAGAGUGAUGCAUCAUAUUUAAAAUUUCUAGAAACUUGAAAUGGGGAUGAACCAAAACCCCAGCACCACUUAAACCAAAUAGGAUUACUAAAAUAUUUUCCCAAUGAACCUAAAAUGCCCUACAAAAAUGUUCAUCACUUUUGUAUUGGUCAAUAACCUUUGCCAAAAUUGGUUCACAUUUUUCUAGGACACCAAAGGUCACUGGAUUAAAUCAUUAGCUAUUUGCAUUUGGACAUUUGAAUGCUAUAAAAUAUUUUAAAUGUCCAAAUAAUUGUGAAUUUAAGUGAGGGCUGUUGGAAAUAAUACAAACAGAGCCGAGAUGGAUUUUCAGGUUUUUUGGAAAUGCUUUAACAUUAUAAAUAAAGCCAAAAACAUUUGCAAAAAAUAGAAAACUGAAAUAAUUAGAAAAGAGAGAGAGAGAGAGAAGAGGCCAGAGGCUACUUACCUGCAAUGGGCUGGCCCACCUGGCCCAUGCCAUUCAUCACCCACCUGUGCCAGUAGGCAGAGGAGGGGGCGGUGCAUGCGCGCCGAGCUCGCCACACAGCUCCUUGCUCGUCUGCGUCGCCUAGACAGCGUGGCGACGCCUCGAAACACCUCCUCGGUGCCGNNNNNNNNNNNNNNNNNNNNNNNNNNNNNNNNNNNNNNNNNNNNNNNNNNNNNNNNNNNNNNNNNNNNNNNNNNNNNNNNNNNNNNNNNNNNNNNNNNNNNNNNNNNNNNNNNNNNNNNNNNNNNNNNNNNNNNNNNNNNNNNNNNNNNNNNNNNNNNNNNNNNNNNNNNNNNNNNNNNNNNNNNNNNNNNNNNNNNNNNNNNNNNNNNNNNNNNNNNNNNNNNNNNNNNNNNNNNNNNNNNNNNNNNNNNNNNNNNNNNNNNNNNNNNNNNNNNNNNNNNNNNNNNNNNNNNNNNNNNNNNNNNNNNNNNNNNNNNNNNNNNNNNNNNNNNNNNNNNNNNNNNNNNNNNNNNNNNNNNNNNNCCGUCCACUCGGCGCCUCGCCGUGUCUAGAAGCUCCGCCGUCGUCCGCUUCACCGAGCCUGCCGAGCCCCGAGCACUCGCACGCCUCAGAGACGCCUCCCCGACCUCGCCUUCACCGCCCGUCGUCGGAGAUCCACUUUGCCGCCCUGCUCAGCUCUGACAGUCCCCGAGCUCGCCGACCAUCUCGACCGAGUCGCCGUGAGCCACUGCCCGUUCUCCCCCUCUCUGCUCUCUCCUUCAUGCGCCAUAGUCGCCGCACCAUGCUCACCCGCACGAGCCUCCGCCUCUGCAUGUCGCCAUCGUGGCCACUGCCACGCGGGCUCGAGCCCGAGCACGUCACCGCGUUCGCCGCACCCCCAGGAGCCCGUAGCACCUCAUCGCGCCCUCUGUUGUGCCCCCUAGCGCCGAACCCGAGCACGCCCGAGCUCCAGCCGCCGCUGCCGAGCUCAUGGCCGUCGUCACUGGCCGCCCUAGCUGCUGCUGCUUGCUCCAACGGGCGCGGGUGAGCUCCAGCACCCCAUAGCCGCUCUCCGCUGGCCAUUUGGUCGCUGGAGCAGUGAGCCCGAGCCCUCCACCGCGUCUGCUGCCGCCGGCGACUAAACGCCGGUGGUUAGCCCGGUUUGACCAGGGGGUUUGACCUCCCCUGGGUUAAUGACAGGUGGGGCCCCUCCCUGCUAACUAAACUAGGUUAGUACUAACUAAAAUCAAUUAGUUUAGUUGACCACUGAGACGCGGGACCCACUGGUUAGUUUGACCUGGAUCGGCCCCGAUGACUUGUUGACAUCAUGCUGACGCAGUAAAGAGUUUUCUAGAUUUAAACUUAUUCAAAAAAUUCCAGAAAUUGUUACAAACUUCAAAAAUUCAUAGAAAUUAAUCUGUAACUCCAAAUGCAAAGUGUUAUAUAUGAAAAAUGAUCAGAAAAAUCCAAUCUAUCCAUCUGUACUGGUUUCAUGCAUGUUUAAAAAAGCUAACUUGCUGUUUAGUGCAGAACAUGAUAAAGCACUAUUUGAGAUCACAAAUGGGUUUGGACUUUGAAUCUUUCGUUCAAAAUAGCUCAAACCCAUCUGGUUUUAGAUGCAUUAGCCCAACACACUCAUAUUGCCAUGUCGCAUGCAUGAAUCAUAUUGUUGCAUAUUGUUUGGUAAUGAUUGUGUUGUCGGUGCUUGAGGGAGUCCUGGACUAGGGGGUGUCCGGACAGCCGGACUAUCAUCGUCCUCCGGACUCCAAGACUAUGAAGAUACAAGAUUGAAGACUCUGUCCCGUGUCCGGAUGGGACUUUCCUUGGCGUGGAAGGCAAGCUUGGCGAUACGGAUAUGUAGAUCUCCUACCAUUGUAACCGACUCUGUGUAACCCUAGCCCUCUCCGGUGUCUAUAUAAACCGGAGGGCUUUAGUCCGUAGGACACAACAUCCAUUACAACAAUCAUACCAUAGGCUAGCUUCUAGGGUUUAGCCUCCUUGAUCUCGUGGUAGAUCCACUCUUGUACUACCCAUAUCAUCAAUAUUAAUCAAGCAGGACGUAGGGUUUUACCUCCAUCAAGAGGGCCCGAACCUGGGUAAAACAUCGUGUCCCUCGUCUCCUGUUACCAUCCGCCUAGACGCACAGUUCGGGACCCCUACCCGAGAUUCGCCGGUUUUGACACCGACAUUGGUGCUUUCAUUGAGAGUUCCUCUAUGUCGUUGCCGAUAGGAAGGACGCCUCCACCCGUCUUCAAGGACGGUAUUUUCGCCAAAGGGGCCUUGGCCGCCAGCCAAACUAUCCGGCUAGGUGGUUUUCUUAUGACCGCCUGUCCGGCCAUCGCUUCGACAAUGACUUCUCAAGUCGUCAAAAGCAAUCUUCACGUCAGCUCGGAAUUUGCCGAGCGGCUGGAUCCAAUAGAGCUUUUGUCUGUCAACGAGCUCUUGGAUCGCAUCGCCGCCCUGGGAGUCGCUACGGACUACAAUCAGAUUGGGCUUAAAACCGAUCUGAGAGAGAUUAACUCUCCCCAGGUCACCCACCACGUCGCAGUGGUAGAGGAACAAUGCGGCGACUCUUCUCCUGUAUUGAAAACUAGUCAUGUGCGGGCUCCCGAACCCUCCAUGCAGGAUUCCCGUGGAGGGACGGACUUCGGUCAAGCACUGUACCUAAAGUCAGGCAUCGGACCGGACUCGUUGGACAACGUCCAGCAAUCGAAGCUUCCAAAUUUGGAAACUUCACGGCCUUCAAGCCUUGAGAUAGGUAGGGUUCCGGACUUUAUUCCACCCACCCGCCCAGACAUAUGCGAUCUAUCUCUAAUACGGCAAGGGCCCGCUGAAACAGUACAUCACUACUGGGCCAGAUUCCUCCUGGUUCUGGACAGGAUAAAGGACUGCAGAGAGGAAAACGCAAUCUCAAUUUUUUGCAAUAAUUGCACGGACAAGGGAAUAUUGAACGCCAUCAGCCAUCGUGAAAUUACACACUUCGCCGACCUGGCGUCCAUAGUACGAAAGUACUGUGCGAUGGAGAGUUUUCGGAAAACCGAAAACCAGUUUUGGGACAAUCCGGCCCCGAAUACAACCCUAGUCCGCAACAAAAGGGUGCAUUACACUCAGGCCCCAGAUACAAAAACCAAAAAGCAAAAACCCCAUAGAGGGCACGGAACCGUACUGCAGGGAUGGCUUAGCGGACCCUGUAAAAUUCACAGUACAGAGGGCGCCGUCCCAACACAUAGCCUUCGAGCAUGUUGGAUAUUACGGUAGGUGGCCAAAAGUGGCGAGGAGCUUCUAGCCCCGGAAAACCACUCCAACAAUACCAGUACGGUAUCAACAGUCUUCGAGACCUUCACAUCAAAUAAUAUGCGGAAACGAACAAUCCGCGGCCUCGCCGAAGUCUACCAAGUAGCAACAACAAUUCCAUGGAGCGACACAGCCAUCACCUUCAACGCCAGCAACGAACCUAAAUUCCGAAUAGCCCGAGCACCAGCCGCACUGGUGCUUAGUCCAAUAGUGGACGGCUUUUGACUUACGAAGGUCCUCAUGGAUGGCGGCAGCGGACUAAACCUCAUCUAUGAGGAAACUCUUCAAAAAAAUGGAAAUAGACUGGAGCCGUAUUGAGCGAAGCAGCACAACCUUCAGAGGAAUAAUUCCUAGCCGGGAAGCGCGCUGCACCGGAAAAAUCACACUCGAUGUGGUGUUCGGCUCGCCGGACAAUUACAGAUCCGAAGAAGUCACGUUCCAAGUGGCCCCAUUCAACAGCGGAUAUCACGCUAUAUUAGGACGAGAGGCAUUCACAAUUUUUCAAGCCGUACCCCAUUACGGGUACAUGAAGCUCAAAAUGCCUGGGCCCGGCAGAAUAAUCACUCUCGUUAGUGAUCUGGACAUAGCACUCCACGCUGAAAACAAGACGGCCGCAUUAGCCCUGGAGGCACUAUCCGAAGCCCUAGCGGCAGAAGAACUCACCGCGCUGCGCUCUACGGUGAAUAGGGACGAUGUGAUACUUGAUAAGAGAUCCAAGUCCACCUCCUUUAAACCAGCAGAUGAAAUAAUAAAAUUCCAGGUCCAUCCAACGGACCCGACAAAAACGGCUUCCAUCGGGGCACAGUUGAACCCUGAUGUAGACGCCGCACUGCGAGAAUUCCUUCGGGAAAAUUGGGACAUUUUCGCCUGGCACCCUUCGGAUAUGCCCGGAAUCCCACGCAGAUUGGCAGAACACAGCCUAAACAUCCUAAAGGGAUUCAAGCCAGUCAAACAGGCUCUUCGACGAUUUUCCGAACCUAAAAGACAUGCAAUGGGAGAAGAGCUAGCCAAACUAUUGGAAGCCGGAUUCGUCAGAGAUAUCAAACAUCCGGAUUGGCUAGCAAACCUGGUAAUGGUACCAAAGAAGGACAAAUCAUGGCGCCUCUGUGUCGAUUUUAAAGACCUCAACAAGGCCUGCCCAAAGGAUCCCUUCCCCCUCCCCCGCAUCGACCAGAUAAUCGACGCUACCGCAGGACACGAGUCACUAUGCUUCCUCAACGCAUACUAUGGCUACCAUCAAAUCAAGAUGGCGGAAGCAGACCAAGCCGCAACGGCAUUCAUCACUCCAUAUGGACCAUUCUGCUUCAACACGAUGCCCUUCGGACUUAAAAACGCCGGCACAACAUAUCAGCGCAUGAUUCAAACAUGUCUGGCAACCCAGAUCGGCAAAACAGUAGAGGCAUACGUAGACGACGUAGUCGUCAAAACCAAACACGGCGAAACUCAAGUAGACGAUUUGAGGCUCACAUUCGACAACCUCAGAGCAUAUGACAUCAAGCUGAAUCCGGAAAAAUGCGUUUUCGGCGUACCAGCCGGAAAGCUGCUGGGCUUCAUUGUAUCCAGUAGAGGAAUUGAAGCAAACCCGGCCAAGAUCCGAGCUCUGUCACAGCUAGAUAUUCCCAAAGACCUCAAACAGAUACAAAAAUUGAUUGGAUGCAUGGCGGCUUUAAGCCUCUUUAUCUCCCGCUUGGGAGAAAAGGCAUUGCCCCUCUAUCGCCUCCUUAGGCGCACCGAACACUUCGAGUGGACGGAUACUGCCACUGCCGAACUCAAGGAAAUAAAGGCCAUAUUGGCAACAAAUCCGAUCCUGGCUGCGCCCAACUUGGGCGAACCAAUGCUGUUAUACAUCGCGGCAACACAUCAAGUUGUAAGCGCGGUACUCGUCGUCGAACGAGAGAUAGAAGGGCAUAAAUUCCCUCUUCAAAAACCAGUGUACUACGUCUCCACUGUGUUAACCCCCUGCAAGUCCCGUUACCCGCACUAUCAAAAGAUAGCGUAUGCGGUGUUCAUGGCAUCCCGGAAGCUCCGACACUACUUUCAAGAGUGUUCGAUAACAGUGGCCUCCGAAGUACCACUCAACGACAUUAUAAACAACCGCGACGCGACGGGCAGGAUUGCAAAAUGGGCCAUUGAGCUCUUACCAUUCGAUAUAACUUACAAACCUCGGCGAGCUAUAAAGUCACAAGUUUUGGCUGACUUUGUCGCUGAAUGGACCGAAGCCGAACUCCCUAAAGAGUACGGCGCAUACUCCAAUUGGAAUAUGCACUUCGGCGGCUCUAAAAUGUUGGCCGGAUUGGGGACUGGCGUCGUAUUGACGUCCCCAACCGGGGACACAGUCCAAUACGUACUUCAGAUAAUGUACACGGACUCCAACAACGCAGCCGAAUACGAGGCCCUUUUACAUGGCCUCCGGAUGGCAAUCUCCAUGGGCAUUCAACGCCUAGAGGUGCGCGGGGAUUUGAACCUUGCGAUAUCCCAGAUAAAUGGAGACUUUGACACCAAGGAUCCGAAAAUGGCAGCAUAUCGCAACGCUGUCCUAAAAAUGUCAGCCCGGUUUGAAGGACUUGAAUUCCAUCACAUAGCCCGUGAUAAUAACCAAGCAACCGACAUACUGGCACGCAUCGGCGCAAAACGUGACGCUGUCCCUCCAAACAUCUUCCUGGAACGGCUCUUCAAGCCAUCCGUACUAUGGGAAGAGGAGUCCGGACAUGACAAACCGGAAAAAACCGCGCCAACCGGCGAUUCAGCCGACGACAUAACACCUUCAGCCCACGACAUAAUGGCAGUAAUCACCCCGUGGACAGAACCAUUCCUAGCCUACUUGCUUAGGCAGGAACUUCCCGAAGACCAAAAUGAGGCCCGCUGCAUAGUCCGGCGAUCUAAAGCCUACAAGGUCCAUGAGGGAGAACUUUAUAAGAAAAGCACAACCGGAGUCCUUCAAAGGUGUAUCUCCGAAGAGGAAGGGCGAAACCUCCUGGCUGAAAUUCAUGCCGGACUAGGCGGACACCACGCAGCAUCUCGGGCCCUUGUAGGAAAGGCAUUCUGUACAGGAUUUUAUUGGCCGACGGCACGGGCAGAUGCUCAGGACUUAGUCCAAAGAUGCGUCGGUUGUCAGCUCUUUGCUAAUCAGAGCCAUAUGCCACCCACCGCCCUCAAAACUAUACCCAUUACCUGGCCGUUCGCGGUCUGGGGGCUUGACAUGGUUGGACCCCUUAAAGGGGGAACCCACAAGCAAAGGUACCUAUUGGUCAUGGUGGACAAAUUCACCAAAUGGAUAGAGGCCAAACCAGUCAAAACGGCAGAGUCUAGACCAGUGAUAGACUUUAUAUCCAGGGUAGUACACCGUUAUGGUGUCCCCCACAGCAUCAUCACUGAGCGGUCACUUACGAAAUCUGACACGCACUGGGUAGAGGAGCUCGACUCCGUACUCUGGGGGCUGCGGACAACGCCCAACCGUACUGCCGGAUUCACACCAUUUUUUAUGGUAUACGGCGCAGAGGCAGUUCUGCCCUGCGACAUCAUUCAUGACUCACCUCGAGUGCGCAUGUAUGAAGAAAGAGAAGCUGAGCUGGAUCGGCAGGACAGCUCGGACACAUUGGAGGAAGAACGCAACGUCGCCAAGGCUCGUUCCGCAUUCUAUCAGUAGCAGGCUCGAAGAUAUCAAAGCAGAGAAGUACGGGCCAAGACUUACAACGUUGGCGAACUAGUUCUACGCCUGCCGAACAAGAAAAAGGACAAGCUCAAGCCCAAAUGGGAGGGGCCCUUCAUUAUCGAUCAGGUCCUGACCGGCGGAGCGUACCGUCUACGAAAUGCAUCGGACAACCGACUCGAGCCGAACCCAUGGAACGCAGCCCGCCUCCGAAGAUUCUAUGCCUAGCGCUGGACUAAGAGUUUGUCCCCUUCCCCCGUCCAAAUUUUUACACUUCAGCUGCCUUUUGUUUCUCUUUCUUCUCUUAACCCUUUUCCUAAAAAGCCCUUAAGGGCCUACUUGCGCAUUGUUCGCACAUACUUGAUGUGCCAUCCGCACUCAUUAUACCUGGGGGCUUCUUUUCCAGAAGCUUAAUUAUAAGGGCUUCAUGCCCAGCACAUGUGUCAAGCUUCCACAUGUACCUUUUACUCACCAUUAUAUGCAUCGAUAUGACUUAAGUUUUGGCCAAGCUGGGUUGCCUGGCUCCUGUGCUUACCCCUACGUUCCCGAUUGUUCGGCUAGGAGGUAAAGGGAGCACCUCUGUGAUUGUUACUGCCGGGUCAGCCGGAUGUGUACCUCAGACUGCGUGAAGCCGAAAGCUAGCGUUCUUAAGGGAAUAUUCGGUCGGUGACUUGAAAGAUGAUUUUUUACCUACUUAUUUAUCUGCCCCCAGAUGUUUUUCUGCUUUUUUCGCAGUCCGGACAUGCACUUUAGGGCAUGCCUCCCAGGGAAAGGAACCCUUAACGGAACUAUUCUCGCUGGAAGAUGUUUCUUACUAACCAUGUAAUAUAACAUAACUAGUUGGGCACUUGUCUGAUAAAGCACUAAUGACCCCUACGCCUGGUCUCCAUGCAUACCCCCGGUUGUUUCUUAACCGAGAAGGUAUUCGGACACACUCCGGACUCUAGGGUCCUGAGGUUGAAGCGAAAAGGUCGGCAAAGACAAACGAUCUACAAUCCGGAUAGAAGGCAUUUCACAUGUCAUUUUAAAAAUACAUUGUCAAAUCUACUGACUGUAUUCCUCCUCAAUCCCGUCUAACAGGCCGUCCAAUUUACAGUCCCGUUGGGAAAAUUUAGCAGCCAACUCUACUUGGCCGUAUACUAAACUCACAGGGAUCUCCUUCCCAUCGCGCCCCACAGGUCCGACCUUGGCCAUGUGGUUGGGAUCCGCCUUCUUGUACCGCGUCUUCACCAUGGCCCAAGCCUCCCUGGCACCUUGGCGGCAGGCCGAAAUCUUCCAUAAACGGAAGCGCUGCCACACUCCCUGAAGCUUCUCCGCAAGCUCCCCAAGGCCCUCGGGUAGGGAGAGGGCUGGCCAUAAAGCCUGGACGACGCCGCUCAUUGCCUGCCAAACUCGUUCGAGCAGCUGCAACAGCUCGGGAAGUUGAUCACCCGUUGAUACGGGUAUCUCCUCCGCAGGGCGACCUGUGAGUAUACCUACAAGACAUAUUUUGUCAAUUGCCUUCCUCGCCGAACUCUUCUUUUCAAAGGAGUCCGCUCAAGCACUUACUAUAGAUGCCGCGAUGAAGCCGCUGAUUCUCCUUAACGGAGCCGGACAGCUCGGCCCGAACGCCUUUCAGCUCUUCUCCAAGCUGGGCGUGGGCAUAUUGGAGCUUGUUCCUUUCUUGCUGCACUCUAUUCAGCACCCUCUCACCGGCCUUCAGCUGGCGCAGUAGUUCCUGCCUGUCCGGAUCUUGUCCGGCAGCACCUGCAAUGUCAUUAUUAGACUUGCGCGCACGCCGCACAACGCUUAUAUUUUUUUUUAAAAAAUGUGUUACCAGGAGGGGUCUCUGUGUUUCCUCCUGUAGCAGCAAGUGCGGCCUCAAGUUGGGCCUUGCACUCUUGCAGCUCCUGAGACAGUUGGGUAUUCUUCUCGGUAAGAUCCUGCGUUUCAAAUGAUCCUUAAAUCAGUUAACAUAACUACUUUAAGUCUCGGGGGCUACUGGCAUAUAUAACUGUUAAAUUCUCUUACCCGUAUGUCUUUUACAUACUGCUCCGUGGCUCUGGUAAAACCAUCUUGAGCAGCACUGAGGUGCGCGUCCCCCGCGUUAAAGGCAUUUAAUGCCUCAGGGGAGAAGCACGCAUCAUGAAAUACUGUCCGGCGGCGCCUAUGGUUCAUGGCAAUCUCCACCUCAGACUUGGUGGCGGACAGUCUGUCGGCAUCCUCCGUUGGAGGAGUGUCCGGCUCGCGCCUUGCUCUCGCCUCCCCCUCCAGGCCAGGUGCUGGAGCCUGGCUAGUAGAGGUUGGAUUGGCAACCUCCACGCCCGCAGUCCGGCGGGCGCUUUUUCUCCUACAAAGAUCAUGAGCACUCAAACGCUUCCUAGGAACGUUGCUCCGAAUAAUUAACUACGAGCUAUACCUUUGCGGCAAUGUUUCAGUCCGCGCCACGCUCCUCUUCCGCCUACUGGUCCGGACUGGCCUUUGUUGGUCAGCCGCUGCGGGCUCGGCUUCCCGCCUUGAAGGCGCUUCCUGCAAAACACCAUCGUACGCGAAGGUCAGAAAUGAGCAAGGAAGAGAUAAUGGUGUCAGGACUUCCAUCACAAUCACCUGGGAAGCCGGAUAUAGUCCGGGGUAGUCAGCCGUAAUGGUGACUAAAGCAUUAUCCAUGCUGAGCUGGUGGAACACCCCGUCAAUUAGCUCCACCUGAAUGUCCGGAUCCUCUUCGGAGGCCGGAUCCUGGGAUCUCUCUGGAUCCUCGGGUUGCGGAGCUGGACUUAUCAUGUCCUCCACAAUCCGACGCAGUUCCUACGCCGAAGACAUAAUAUAAGAAGCUUAAACUUUGAAAGCAUGGUCGGACCCUUAAAGUGUUCGCUUACCCAACGCCGAGGGUUAUUCAUGGAGAACCCAUUCAAGGGGUUCGUCUGAAGGAAGUUCUCCUUCUCCCCCUUGUACAGGCCGGACAGGAUCUGUACCAGAUCCUCGGCCGAAUCCGGUCCUUUGCGGCCAUGGCGGGAGGCAUCGUCUUCCCCGUUGAAAUCCCACAUAGGGUGGCCCCUGUAUUGCAGUGGCUGCACCCCCCGCAUAAUGCAUGUUGCCAUGACUCCAAUCAUGGUCAACCCGGAAUGGGCCAGUAAUCUUAUUCGGCCCAUCAGAUAAUGGACGCUCUUGUCUUCCUCCAGUUGGGGGCUCCGCAGGCGCCAACUAAGGCGUUUCUUCAGAGGAGCAGUACUGAACUCCGGGAGGCCGAUCCGAACAGGGUCCGGCAGCGGAGCGUCUUCUAUGUAAAACCAUUCUGAAGGCCAGUCUUCGGACGCCUUCUUAGGGGUUCUGGAUGGAUAUCCGGUCCCGGCAAUGCGCCAUAUUUCGGCGCCGCCCACUUGAUAUAUAGACCCCUCGUGAGAACAGGGUACGAGGCAGAACAACCUCUUCCAUAGUGCAAAAUGGGGCUCGAUGCCCAGAAAUAGCUCGCAAAGAGCUACGUAACCCGCGAUAUGAGGCGGGUGUAAGGUGAUGGAGCUGGAGUCCGUAGAACUCUAGGAGCCCGCGGAGGAAUGGAUGUAUAGGAAAUCCGAGUCCCCUUAUCAGAUAGGGGACGAAGCAUACCCGAUCCCCUUUGUUGGGACUUGGGGUAGCCUCCGCUUGCUUCCCACCUUGGUAGGUGGCCAGCCCGGCUCGAACCGGAACCAUGAAGGCCGGAGGGAGAUAUCCCUCCGCUUGGAGCUUCACCAGCUCGUUGUGCGGAAUAGAGCAUCGCCUCCAAUCUCCUGGCAGAGGGCUGGGAGCGCGAGAAGAGGAGCUGCGUCGACGGUCCAUGAUGGAAUGGAUUCUGGGUCAAAAGCGCUCCGAUGAGUAUUCGCGGAAGGAAGAUGGUGUGAUUUGGAUCUGGAUUCUUGCCUCUCUUAUAGGCAGAUUAUUUGCACAGCUGGGGGGUAAAACAUAAAAGAUACCCUGGCUUUUCGCAUUCGUGCGAUGCGUGGAAGAAGGCCAUUAUUGGGCGUGGAAGCCAAGAAGGGCAACAUUGAUAAGGAAGCCGGACACUGUUCGGUAGGUACAUGGAACUUAAAAGGAGAACCCGCCUUGCAACGCCGAAGACUAUAUACGCGCUGGACUUAUCGUCAUUGAAGCCUGGUUCGGGGGCUACUGAGGGAGUCCUGGACUAGGGGGUGUCCGGACAGCCGGACUAUCAUCGUCCGCCGGACUCCAAGACUACGAAGAUACAAGACUGAAGACUCCGUCCCGUGUCCGGAUGGGACUUUCCUUGGCGUGGAAGGCAAGCUUGGCAAUACGGAUAUGUAGAUCUCCUACCAUUGUAACCGACUCUGUGUAACCCUAGCCCUCUCCAGUGUCUAUAUAAACCGGAGGGCUUUAGUCCAUAGGACUACAACAAUCAUACCAUAGGCUAGCUUCUAGGGUUUAGCCUCGUUGAUCUCGUGGUAGAUCCACUCUUGUACUACCCAUAUCAUCAAUAUUAAUCAAGCAGGACGUAGGGUUUUACCUCCAUCGAGAGGGCCCGAACCUGGGUAAAACAUCGUGUCCCUCGUUUCCUGUUACCAUCCGCCUAGACGCACAGUUCGGGACCCCCUACCCGAGAUCCGCCGGUUUUGACACCGACAGUGCUCCUUGCGGUAAGUUCUGCCCUGGAGGAAUACCGCGAGUACCCGAACGAAGGACAGUACUAGUCUGCUGAUCUGCCAGGCAAGCAACCACCCCAUUUUAUUAUAUCGAUAAAAUCCCAUGUUCUCGCUCUUGCUCUUGUUUACUGCAUUUAAGACAACCGCAUUUCAAACUGCUGUGUGCUAUGGUAGUUGAACCCAUUUCCUCUGCAUUACCUGUCUUUGCCACAAUAACUAUAUGAAACCCACUAGCAUGUGUAGUAGUUGAUUGAGCCAUGUUUGUGUUUCCUACCAUGCUAUGCCUGCUAUGCUUAGAGUUGUGUCAGGUCUAGUUCAUCUGGGUGAUGGGCUAGAGUGAAAUGAUCAUGUCGGUGAUGUGAGUGAUGUGUUGAACACGAUUUGGUAAAGGUAUCGAUGAGAGGCCAUGUAGGAGUACAUGGUGGGUUGUUUCAUUGGAACCGUCCUUAAGCACUGAGAUCUGUAUGUGUGAUUUAAGAUCAGCUACUACCAUGCAUCGGGAUCCUUAAUUGACCCUCUCGGCUUCUUAACCACCCUUGUCCACUGUCUAGGAGUUGCAAGUAGUUUCUAGUGUUUGUAGUAUACUGGAGGCCGUGCGCACUGCUGACCCUCGGGGUGGGCUGUGAUGCAGUAGGUACGUGGCCGGGCAUGCCUGGUGCCCGUUUGGUGUCUCGGAACCCUAUGCACAUCGUUCGGGGCCGUAUGUGGAAACCUCGGCCGGACUCCUUGCGGAUGGAACCUGAAUAGGCGAUAAACCUGGACUAGAGACUUGAGUGUUUAGGUAGGCCGUGGCUGACACCCUCGUUGGGCUUCCGCGUGAAGGUUGCCGAGUACAUGUCGUGUAAACGACGAUAAGUGGUGGAAGCAUGUGUGAAGAAGUACACCCCUGCAGGGUACAAAACUAUUCGAAUAGCCGCAUCCGCGGUAAAGGACUACUUGGUUGCCUAUACAAUUCAUAGACAAGUAAAUGGAUACUCCUAAAAGCCUCAAGACAAGUGUGAGUGUCAUGGAUGGCCCUUCUAUAGGAUGACGGAGGAGGAUCCGCGGUAGUGUAUUGUUGUGGUGAGUAGUGGACUCGUGUGCACAAAACAUUUACGAGUUGCUGUCUCGUAGGAUAGCUUAGCCAAGAGUCAAAGAUGGCUUGCUACAAUUAACUCCACUAUCCCUUUGUUGAUAAUGUGCAUGUAUGUAGGAUCUGAUGUAAGUCUUGCUGAGUACCUUUGUACUCAUGUUUGCUUAAUUACUAUUGCAGAAGAGAAUGUCGCCCCUUUCGAUGGGUUCUAUGUAGAUCUCGACAUUGAUGAGUAGCUUGAUGCCCAGGUGGUGACCCUGAGCUUGUGAAUGGCCUUUGUGGUUAGACAGGCUUCGUCAAGCCUUCUUUCCUUCUAGUUGUCUGUGCUUGUAUGUUUGUAUGACUUGAGUGUUGGGUUGUGUGACUCCUACCUAUAUGAACAUGAUAUAUAUGGCUCUCUGGAGCCUUUAAAUAAAGUACUUGAGUUGUAGAGUUUUGUUGUGAUGCCAUGUUGUAUUUGCACAUAUCGAGCAUAUUGUGUGUAUGUUUGAAAUGCUUGGUAUGUGUGGGAUCUGACUACCUAGUUGUUUAUCCUUGGUAGCCUCCCUUAUGGGGAAAUGUAGUCUAGUGCUUCCACUGAGUCAUGGUAGUCUGCUACAGCCCGGUUUACCGGAGUCCUGUUAGCCCAGUUGUUACCGCUCCGGAACACUUAGACUGGCCGGCAUGUGGCCUUCUUCGUUCCUGUGUCUGUCCCUUCGGGGAAAUGUCACACGGUGUCUACCGGAGUCCUGUUAGCCUGCUACAGCCCGGAUUCUCCGGAGUCCUGCUAGCCCAGCUGCUACAGCACGGAUUCACUCGCUGAUGACCGACACGUUCGUUGCUGGGUCAUGUAUACAUGUCCCUGUAAGUUAGUGCCACUUUGGGUUCACAACUAGCCAUGUCAGCCCGGGUUCUUUGUCAUACGGAUGCUAGCGACACUAUCAUAUACGUGAGCCAAAAGGCGCAAACAGUCUCGGGCCUGGUAAGGCGACACCUAUGGGAAUACCGUGCGUGAGGCCGCAAAGUGAUACGAGGUGUUACAUGCUAGAUCGGUGUGGCAUUAGGAUCGGGGUCUUGACAGCGUUGGCAUCAGAGCCGGACUGCCUGUAGGUUCUUCAAGCCAAACUGGUCGAUGUCGAGUCUAGAAAUGCUUUAGUUAUAUGUAGGGGAAUUGAUUGUUGGAGGGAACGCAAGGCUCUUUUUACUCCUUUACCUUAUGCCCUUCCGAUCUGAGUCAUCCUCUUCUCUUUCUACGUGGGUUCAGGACUAGGAUCUCAUCUCUCUAUCAGGUUCACGUGUUACUACUUCGUAGAAUUUUAGGAUUGUUGGUUCCAGGCCUUGGUUCAGUUUUUACUACAUGUAGUAUGUUGUCAGUUGGACCCAGAACCUUGAUAUGAUGUUAUUGAGUGGCUUUGGAUACUGUUGUGAAUGUCUCAAAUCUUUUUCUGAGCAUUUACAGCCGUUAUGCUGCCCGAUUUCUCCUAGAAAUUCUAAUGCCUUUGCAUUACUUCGUGUUUUAGAUGGCUUCCCGCACCCCACAUCAGGUGACGAAGAAGAAGAAGAAGAAGAAGAAGAAGAGGUUAGGGGUGCAUCGGCGCCAACGGAACCGGGUCAAGGUUAGCGGUGCGUCGGCGCCGACGGAACCGGGUCGAGGAUCACCGGUUCCCAAGGGGUCGAGGGUCUGGGCAGAGGGUUGAGGAUCGAGGGGCGAGGUGUCGAGGGUCUAGGGGUCGAUGGUCGAGGAUAUUCCAGUCCGAGUGCUGACCAACUGGUGUCUUAGCUUAAGAUGAGGACGUCCCCGAGCUGAAGGUCAUGAAACAUGAAGGGAAAAUAUAUAUCAAGAAUGACAUAACACUACAUCAAAUGAUAAGGUAGAAAGAAUUGCACUUUGAAAUGCAAGAUAAAGAAUACUUGAGCUCCUCUGAAAAGAAUCUCGAUGAACACUUCGAGAAGUAAUUAAAUCCUUGAUUAACAGCCAUGUAGAACCUCCAUGAAGAACUCCGGUAAUAAAAGAAUGAUCAAAAGAAGUGAAGGAUGAAAAGAAUUAGAUGAACCCUUGAAAUGAUUAAAUGGAGCUUCGCUAUGAGAUAAUGCGGAAAAACUUGGAACUCUGGAAAAGAAAGAUGAAACAAUUGAAACCGAGAAUUUGAUGAACCUCCGGAAUAAGGAAUUAAUCACUUGGAUGAAACAAGAAUAAGAAUUACAUUAUGCUUAUCCUUCACCAAUUUAAAUUGAUGACAAGUAACGGAUUUGGCAUACUACUUUUUUGUGGAAAGGAUUAAAGAGAGGUAUAGCUUAAACUUGAGAAAGUCUUGAACGAACCACCGGUAGGGUUGAAACAACGAAUAAUUAAUAUGAUAACAAAGGGAAAGAAGUCUUGAAUGAACCACCGUAAGAAUUAAAAUGACCGAAGAAAAGAUAAAGGAACACUGGGAAGAAUUAUAAAAUGAACGAAGAUACUUGAGAGAAUUUAGAUGCAAGUGAACGAAGAGAUCCCGAGCUGAUAAGAAUACUUGAAUGAUGCACAGGUAAGAUUAGGAGAACGAUAACUGAAAGCUGGGAAUGAAUAUAAACCCGAAAUGAUGGCCUUCGGAGAAUCAAAUUGAAAAGACUCAUGAAUUGCUCCGGAAGGGUGAAAAGAAUUCUCACAAUCGAAAACAAUUACGAGAGGAUGGCAACAAGCUUGAAGAUUGCAUCUGGAAGAAUGGGUAAGAUUUGGAGGAGAAACUCUUCUUCGUUGUUCAAAUGUUGAGAAUGACGAUGAGAAAGACCACCAUGAAUUGUUGAGAUACUCUGGGAGAAUGAAAAACGAAGAGGUUGAGUCAACAAUGAAAAGAAUUUGAAAGAUCUUGAAGGAAUACAUUUGACUGAUGAUAACUCAUUCUUACGUCAAACUUGGAAAAGAAUUUGAGAGUAACUCCGGGAAAAUUAGAGGAGUCAGGUAAGAUCCUGGAAAAAGACCUGUGGGUUAGGGUCCACUCAAAAGAUACACCAUUGAACGAUUACUUGAAAGGGAAAUUGCACCGGUAAGAAUUAAAUGGCUUGAAUGAGAUAACAACCUCGAAAAGAGCUUGAACGAAAGCAGAGUGGAAACACGAAUCUUCAAGAUAUCUUCAGCACUUCGGAUCAAUUGAAUAGCGAUAAGUGGAUGAUUAAGAAGUGCACCGACAUGAGAAGGCAUUUUAAACGAGGAAAGGAAUAUGAUCAACAAGGCUUGAAUUGAAUCCACCGGAGAAGAAAGAGAACAAAGAGUGAUGAACUAGAAGCUCCGUUAGAAUCUUCCUGAGAACCACCAGAUAAGAACAUUGACGGAAAAGAGUGGAGAGACUUCACACCCAUACGAUGGAUACUUGAUUAAGAAAUAUGAGUCCUUGAAGAAAAAGGGUGGGAGGGCGGGAAAACAAAAGACAGCUCGGGACGGAUGAAACGAACACUGUUAAGAAAGCUAAGAUUGGAUCUUGCAAAUGGGAAAAUGAUAGGAUCAACUUGAAGAGGAUCGCACCGGUUGGAAAUAGAAUUGAGAUGACAAUCUCGAUAAAUAAGAAGGGUUACUAUUCACAUAGGAAUAUGAGAAAACCGCUUAGGAAAGGUAUGGAAUCAACACUUGACAUUGAAGCAACUCGAAUACCACAACUGAAAACAAAAACAAAGGAUUGGCUUGCAAAAUAAGCUGGAAACAAACAUAUGAUAGAUCCCAUAUCGUAUCAUGUGUCUAUUGGAAAGAUAUUCUAGGAGCUACUUGAAUUCCCACUUAUAAACUCCCGAAACUUUUUGGUUAUGCAAUCAGGUGUUGGGGAUACAGGGGAAGCAUAAUAUCUCACCCAAACUAACAAAUCCUACAUCCAGCUGUAUCCAUCCUUCAACACAUAACCAAGAAACCUUCGGAAAUCAUUUACCUCAACCUUCGAAAAACAUCCAUUAUACGAGUUAUGGAAAUACUCCCGAACUCCCGCCCAGUACUGGGUGGCGUCGAGGUUAUCUCACCAACAACUGCAUAAAAGAGAUUUUUUAUGUCGGCGAAACUCAGGUAUUCCAGAAUUGCAACGAUAAAAUUGUGACGACAACAUCUUGGAGCUCAACUCCCCGGGACACUGCCACAACCCCUAAAUGUCAGGAGGCACCAAGAAUAAUGUUCUCGUCACAAAACCAUUGGAACGAUUCCAAGAUACCCGCGUGAUCCUAAAAAAAUUCAUGAAAUUUGAGGAGAGAAGAGUCAAAACUCUACGUCAGGAGGCCUCACCAGAGCGACGAAGGUACUGAGGAGUAAAAAGAAUCCUACUCUUCGAUAUAUAUAAUCCUAUAAGACUCAAAACAUUUUUCUAGACUCAACAACGUCAGCGAUUCGAUCAAGCAGGGGGCUCCUAAGCCAGGGAUGGCUCUGAUACCAACUUGUAACACCCAUGAUGCGGCUAUAUCUCCCAUGUGUCGGGGCAUGACUUAGAGGCAUAACCGCAUGGUAGGCAUGUCGCAAGUGGGGUAAUCUUUGCACAUCCCAUGUAUUGAAUAAGCAAGUGAUAAAGAGUUGUCUUACAAUCGCCACUUCACACAAUACAUAAAUAUAGCAUUACAUACAAUCAAGGUCCGACUACGGAACCAACAUAAAUAAAAGACAACCCCAAAUGCUAGAUCCACAAUCGCUCCAACUGGGCUCCACUACUGAUCGAAAGGAAACGAAACACAACAACGAAAAGGUCUUCAUCAAGCUCCCACUUGAGCUCGGUUGCGUCACAUGCACUGGUAUCAUCGGCACAUGCAAACUGGUUUUGGAAGUAGCUGUGAGUCACGGGGACUCAGCAAUCUCACACCCACGCGAUCAAGACUAUUUAAGCUUAAGGGUAGGAAAAGGUAGUGAGGUGGAGCUGCAGCAAGCACUAGCAUAUAUGGUGGCUAACUUACGCAAAUGAGAGCGAGAAGAGAAGCAAAGCACGGUCGUAAACUAUAAGUGAUCAAGAAGUGAUCUUGAAACUACUUACUUUCAAGCAUAACACAAGAACCGUGUUCACUUCCCGGACCCCGCCGAGAAGAGACCAUCACGGCUACACACGCGGUUUAUUCAUUUUAAUUAAGUUAAGUGUCAAGUUUUCUACAACCGGAUAUUAACCAAUUCCCAUCUGCCCAUAACCGCAGGCACGGCUUUUGAAAGUUCAUAACCCUGCAGGGGUGUCCCAACUUAGUCCAUCACAAGCUCUCAUGGUCAACGAAGGAUAUUCCUUCUCCCAGGAAGACCCGAUCAGACUCGGAAUCCCGGUUACAAGACAUUUCGACAAUGGUAAAACAAGACCAGCAAGACCACCCGAUGCGCCAACAUCCUGAUAGGAGCUGCACAUAUCUCGUUCUCAGGGCAACACCGGAUGAGCGCUCCGUACAACUAAAACCAGCCCUCAAGUUCCCCUGAGGUGGCGUUGCAAAGGACUCUAGUUCGGACCAACACUUAGAGAAGCACUGGCCCGAGGGGGGGGCGUUAAAAUAAAGAUGACCCUUGAGUCUGCAGAACCCAAGGGAAGGUGAUAGGUUGUUAGUGCAAAUGUAAAACCAAGGUUGGGCCUUGCUGGAGGAGUUUUAUUCAAAGUGAACUGUCAAGGGGUUCCCAUAACAUCCAACCGCGUAAGGGACACAAAAUCAAGGAACAUAACACCGGUAUGAUGGAAACUAGGGCGGCAAGAGUGGUACAAAACACCAGGCAUAAGGCCGAGCCUUCCAUCCUUUACCAAGUAUAUAGGUGCAUUAAAGUAAACAAGAUAUAAUAAUGAUAUCCCAACAAUAACCAUGUUCCAACAAGGAACAAACUCCAUCUUCACCUGCAACUAGCAAUGCUACAAGAUGGGCUGAGCAAAGCGGUAACAUAGCCAAACAACGGUUUGCAAGGAAAAGGUGGGUUAGAGGCUUGACAUGGCAAUAUGGGAGGCAUGAUAAAGCAAGUGGUAGGUAUCGCGUCAUAGCAAUAGAGCGAGCAACUAGCAAGCAAAGAUAGAAGUGAUUUCGAGGGUAUGGUCAUCUUGCCUGCAAAGUUCUCCGAGUUGACGAAAGCUUGAUCCUCGUAAGCGUACUCAACGGGUUCCUCAAUCACGUACUUGACUCCCGGCUCUACCCAAAGUAAGAACACAAGCAAAGGAAACAACAAUCAACCACGGUGCAAUGCACAAGCAACAUGAUGCAAAAGAUGGCAUGAUAUGCGAGAUGUGAUAUGCAAUGCAUAUGCUUGCUUCGGGAGGGAAAGAUUGAACCAAGCCUCAACUUGGCAAACCAAGUGUGCCGCUGGAAAGAUGAGUUGAUUUCGGUCGAAAUCGAUAUAAAGAUCACCGGAAUCGGAUGCACGGCUUGCAAAUGGCAAGCAAAACAAGAAUGGCACAAUUCUGCGAUUAACAGCAUGAUGCCAUCUAGAAUGCAACACGAAACUAAGCUACUGCACUCCAACAUAGCAACAAAGCAUAUGGCAGUGAUCUACUCAAGAUGCUUGACAAAAGAUGAACACUGAGCUACGGCUAAAUCACACAAGAGCAGGUUAAAACUAGCAUGGCAAAAGUGCAAACUAUAUCAGCUUCACAGACUUGGUGAAAAUAACAUGCCAGGAAUUAACAUCAGCAAGCAAUGUUUAUAUCAAGCAAACGACAUGCUACAUGAAAAUAUCAUAGCAAAACAAGGCAUGACAAGAAUCUACUCAAAACAUAGAACAAAAGUCCCUUACUUACCAUAAGCCAAAAAGGAUCAGAAGAUAUGAUGGAAACCAUGUAAACAUAGCAAGUCUCGUUAACAGAUUCAGACUUAGCAGAAAACAGAGCAUGGCAUAAACAGAAUUAUGAAGGCAUCCUUGCGAGCUCGAUGCACUCAACACAAGGCAUUGCAUGACAAGCUAAGCAUACUACCAGCAAGAAGACGUGUUCAAGAAGCUAACCAUGGCAAGAACAAGUUUAAAGCAUGCUUGGAUCAACUACAACAACCAUGGCAAAAUUGAUUAACAUGUAAACAAUCUGCCAGGAACAUUUUAUAGCAAAAGUAGAGCAAGAUUAAGUCAUGCUACGGCACUCCAUAAUUGCAAACAGGGGCAUUGGUAAAUAGAGAAUAACCAUAUGUCCAAAUUAUCCUUACUGAAGCAACUCAAAUAAAGCAUGUAUCACACUGUAGCAACAUGAAUACAUGGCAUAAAAAUAACAGCAGACAGACAACCAAAAUCCUGAGAUCCUGAAAUCAGCAAUAUCACGAAGGCUACUUUGCAUGCUUGUGCUAGUCACCACAUUGAUCACAAAAAUACAUGGCAUACACCCCUGUAAAGAUGGCAUGGCAUAGACCAAAACAAAUGUAGAGCUCAUGCCUAUAUGCAGCACACAACAAAUGUAGCAAAAAUGACAAAUGCUCAUACUCUGCUAAGAAUUAGCAUCUAACAUUUUAUAGCACUCUUGCAUCAACUAUUUGGGCAUCAAGAUGGACUCAAAUAAGCAUGGAACAAUGGAAAAAAUGAAGAGCACAUCCUGAUGAACAUUUUGAUAUAUCAUGCAUGCAAAACGGAUCUAUGGAUGAGGAGUUAUGGCAUGUUGAACAGGGCGCCGGAGGACGUAGGAGUGUCGGAUUGCAAAACGGACAACGGGGAAAAUGCUCGGAUGCAUGAGACGAACACGUAUGCAAAAGCGAUGCACAUGAUGACAUGAUAUGAGAUGCAUGACAUGAACAAAAUGCAAAACAAAAACAAAACCCAACCACGAAGGAAAACUCCUAUCGCAUCUCCGGAAAAGGCAAGAGUCGGAGUUACCAAAAUGGAAAGUUGUAUCCGGGGCGUUACAUCCGUGCAGGAUGCUGCUUACUCGAUGAUGACUAUUAUGCGGGCUAGGCUUGCUUUGCUUCAGAACAACGAGUUUUGCUAUAUGCCAGCAUCACUCCCUGGGGCAGAAGGUUACUACUCGGCUCUUUACACCGACUCUGCUCAUGAGGAUUCGCUACUCCGCACUACCACAUAGUUGCUUGAGGAUAAGGACCGCGAGAAUCGUUCCUUGCGAUUGGAGAUUUUCAACACUCGAUCUGAUCACUGGGCUACUCUGACACGGUUUGCACCUGCUGUGCAGGCUGGGUAUAUGGAUAUGCGGGAUUUGUACCCCGUGCGGUCUGGUCUGCCGGAUCGUAUGGAUUGGCGUGAUGUAGGAGGCAUCACUCCUCCCCAUGGACCUCGUCUUCCACUAUUCGUUGGACCCAGGCCACAUCCGAGUCCUUAUGGACCACAAGCUCCACAGGAUCGACUGUUUCUAUAUGAUCACGUCCAGCUUCCAGGACAUGGGGGUAAUCUCUAUGAAGAUUACUACGGAGAUGUCUGAGCUGAUGGUAGCACCACUAGUAUUGUAAUAGUUGUAUCAUCCACAGUCCUGCGUGACUCGUGGGAUAUGACUAGUGUGUACUAAUUCCGGAGGUGUAGAAAAAUAAUGUAUAGGAGCUUGGGAUGCCUCCGAUGAGAUGUAAUCUUCCUUUCACCGCACUUAUACUUCCGGUUGGUCUUAUACUAAACCGUGUAUGGUGUGUAUGACCGAUGGUAUAAAUAUGGCAGUUUCUGUAUUACCAUGUCAUAUGGAUGAACAUCUUGCAUUCCGAGUCAUCCAUUACAUUCUGCACUUCUAUGUCAGAAUUUUGUCAUCCUUGUCUAAACCGUUGUUUUGAUUUUCCUAGGAUGGUCAACACCCGAAACAACCCUGCUGCCCCGGAGCAGGCUGAAGGCAGUGGGGCUAGACAUGCGAAUCUGCCUCAUCCUCCUUCCUUGGCCGAGGUCAUGCUGGAGGCCGAAAGGAAUAAACGCGAGACCAACCGAUUGCUGGAAUGCAUCGAGCAGAACACUGCACAUCACCAAAGGAACGAGUGUCUAUCAAUGACUUUAUCAAGUUGUACCCACCAACCUUCCAUCAUUCCGUCGAUCCCCUCGAUGCGGAUGAUUGGCUCCACAGCAUUACCCAUAAGCUACGUUCUGCAAGUGUAGCCGAAGCUAACAAAGUCACUUAUGCUACUUAUCGCCUUGAAGGCCCUGCUAGCUUUUGGUGGGAAAAUUAUGAGGCUAUGCGCCCAGCUGGAUUGAUCACCACUUGGGUUGAGUUCAACGAGGCUUUCCAUGAGCAUCACAUCCCGGAAGGUCUUAUGGAUUGUAAGAGGGAGGAGUUCGGCAAUUUCACUCAAGGCAGACUGACCGUAGAUGCAUACAGCCGUGAGUUUGGAAACUUGGCACGCUAUGUGAGGGAGUCCUGGACUAGGGGGUGUCCGGACAGCCGGACUAUCAUCGUCCGCCGGACUCCAAGACUACGAAGAUACAAUUGAAGACUCCGUCCCGUGUCCGGAUGGGACUUUCCUUGGCGUGGAAGGCAAACUUGGCGAUACGGAUAUGUGGAUCUCCUACCAUUGUAACCGACUCUGUGUAACCCUAGCCUCCUCCGGUGUCUAUAUAAACCGGAGGGCUUUAGUCCGUAGGACACAACAUACAUUACAACAAUCAUACCAUAGGCUAGCUUCUAGGGUUUAGCCUCCUUGAUCUCGUGGUAGAUCCACUCUUGUACUACCCAUAUCAUCAAUAUUAAUCAAGCAGGACGUAGGAUUUUACCUCCAUCGAGAGGGCCCGAACCUGGGUAAAACAUCGUGUCCCUUGUCUCCUGUUACCAUCCACCUAGACGCACAGUUCGGGACCCCCUACCCGAGAUCCGCCGGUUUUGACACCGACAUUGGUGCUUUCAUUGAGAGUUCCUCUGUGUCGUCACCGAUAGGCUUGAUGGCACCUUCAACCAACAACGCUGUCCAGGGUGAGACUUUUCUCCCCCGACAGAUCUUCGUAUUCGGCGGCUUCGCACUGCGGGCUAAUUCGCUUGGCCAUCUGGAGCAGAUCGAAAGCUACACCCCUGGCCGUCAGGUCAGAUUCGGAAGCCUAAACUUCACGGCCGAUGUCCGCGGAGACUUGAUCUUCGACGGACUCGAGCCACAGCCGAGCGCGCCGCAUUGUGACGAUGGGCAUGAUCUAGCUCUGCCGCCGAACAAUGCCCUGGUGGCCGCACAUGAAUCCGCUUCGGCCAUCAGUCCGGAGCCGAUCGCCCAGAUCGAGGAUCGGUGGAUAGACGCUGCCUCGGGGGCUUCAACUUCCUUGGCGAUGGAGCCGAACAUUAACCUUGUCCCCCGCAAAACUUGUGAUUCCGAGGUGCCGGACUCCUUGCCGGACUCCGAACCUCAUGCACCCUUCCCAACCAAUUCGAAUUGGGCGCCGGUUAUGGAAUUCACCGCCGCGGACAUCUUCCAGUACUCGCCUUUUGCCGACAUCCUGAAUUCACUAAAGCAUCUCUCGUUAUCAGGAGAGCCCUGGCCGGACUAUGGCCAGGAUGGUUGGGAUGCGGACGACGAAGAAAUUCAGAGCCCACCCACCACCCACUUUGUAGCCACUGUCGACGAUCUAACCGACAUGCUAGACUACGACUCCGAAGACAUCGACGUUAUGGACGACGAUGCCGGAGACGAACAGGAACCAGCGCCUAUAGGGCACUGGAAGGCCACCUCGUCAUACGACAUAUACAUGGUGGAUACCCCAAAAGAUGGGGACAGCGAAGAAACAGCGGAGGCAGAUCCUUUAAAGAAAUAGCCCAAGCGCCGGCAUCAGCGGCGCCGCUCUAAAUCCCGCCACAGAAAGAAUGGAGAUUCCGACACAGGAGAUAAUAAUACCCCAGAGAGUGCCAAAGACAAUCCCCUCCAGCAAGACUCAGUGCAGGAGGAUGCAGAAACAAGCCCUCAUGAGAGGGCGGCAGACGAAGAGGUUGAGGAUCAUAACUACAUGCCUCCCUCCGAAGACGAAGUAAGCCUCAACGAUGACGAAUUCGUCGUACCUGAGGAUCCCCUCGAACAAGAGCGUUUCAAGCGCAGGCUUAUCGCCACAGCAAACAGCCUAAAGAAAAAGCAGCAACAGCUUCAAGCUGAUCAGGACCUGCUGGCCGAUCGAUGGACCAAGGUCCUCGUGUCCGAAGAGUAUAAACUCGAACGUCCCUCCAAAAGCUACCCAAGACACAAGCUGCUCCCCCGAUUAGAGGAGGAGGCAUACAUACCUUCAUCACCAGCGCAUGAUAUGGCUGACCGACCACCCCGUGGUCGUGACAGAGAGGCAUCCAGGCCCCCAGCCAAGACCGUACCCCGGCAUCGCUCCAAAAGUACGAAGCCAAGAGGGAACGUGCCGGACUUGCGGGAUAUAUUGGAGGACAAAGCAAGAUAAUCCAGAUCCAUCUACGGAUCACGUGGGCGCCCCACGACCCAUGACGAAUACCGUCGCACCGGAUAUAAUAACCCCGGCCGGGCCGAACACGGCAGACAGCGCUCUCUCGAGCUGCGUCAUGAUAUUGCUCAAUACAGAGGCGCCGCACACCCACUAUGCUUCACUGACGAAGUAAUGGAUCAUCAAAUCCCUGAAGGGUUUAAACCCGUAAACAUUGAAUCCUGCGAUGGCACAAUAGACCCCGCGGUUUGGAUAGAAGAUUAUCUUCUCCACAUCCAUAUGGCCCGCGGCGACGAUCUCCACGCCAUCAAGUAUCUCCCACUCAAGCUUAAAGGACCAGCUCGUCAUUGGCUUAACAGCUUGCCCGCAGAGUCAAUUGGGUGUUGGGAAGACCUGGAGGCCGCAUUCCUGGAUAACUUCCAAGGCACGUAUGUGCGACCGCCAGACGCCGAUGACCUAAGCCACAUCAUUCAGCAGCCAGACGAAUCGGCCAGACAAUUCUGGACACGGUUCUUGACGAAGAAAAAUCAAAUCGUCGACUGUCCGGAUGCAGAGGCCCUUGCAACCUUCAAGCAUAACAUCCACGACGAAUGGCUAGCCAGGCACCUGGGCCAGGAAAAACCGAAAUCUAUGGCAGCCCUCACAUCAUUAAUGACCCGCUUCUGCGCGGGAGAGGACAGCUGGCUAGCCCACAGUAACAAUCUCGCAAACAUUCUGGCAGUCCGGAUACUAAGGACAACAACGGCAGGUCACGUCGAAACAAAAACAAACGCCGCAUUAACGGCGACGACAAAGAGGAUACGGCAGUCAACGCCGGAUUCCGAGGCUCUAAACCCGGUCAACGGAAGAAGCCAUUUAAAAGAACCACUCCGGGUCCGUCCAAUUUGGACCGAAUACUCGACCGCUUAUGCCAGAUACAUGGCACCCCUGAAAAACCAGCCAAUCACACCAAUAGAGAUUGCUGGGUGUUCAAACAAGCAGGCAAGUUAAUUGCCGAAAACAAUGACAAGGGGCUAAACAGCGAUGACGAGGAGGAGACCCGACCGCCGAACAAUAGAGGACAGAAGGGUUUUCCCCCACAAGUGUGGACGGUGAACAUGAUUUACGCAACCCAUAUACCCAAGAGGGAGAGGAAGCGUGCACUAAGGGACGUCUAUGCAAUGGAGCCAGUCGCCCCGAAGUUCAAUCCAUGGUCCUCUUGUCCGAUCACUUUCGAUCGAAGAGACCAUCUGACCAGCAUACGCCAUGGCGGAUUCGCCGCAUUGGUUUUAGACCCAAUCGUCGAUGGAUUCCACCUCACGAGAGUCCUGAUGGACGGCGGUAGUAGCCUGAACCUGCUUUAUCAGGAUACAGUGCGCAAGAUGGGCAUAGACCCCUCAAGGAUUAAACCUACAAAGACAACCUUUAAAGGUGUCAUACCAGGAGUGGAAGCCAAUUGUACAGGCUCAGUCACACUCGAAGUGGUCUUCGGAUCCCCGGAUAAUUUCCGGAGCGAAGAGUUAAUCUUCGACAUAGUCCCGUUUCGCAGCGGCUAUCAUGCUCUGCUCGGACGAACCGCGUUUGCAAAAUUCAACGUGGUGCCGCAUUAUGCAUACCUAAAGCUCAAGAUGCCAGGCCCUCAUGGAGUCAUCACAGUCAAUGGGAAUACGGAACACUCCCUCCGAACGGAGGAACAUACAGCGGCUCUCGCGGCAGAAGUACAGAGUAGCCUCUUAAGGCAAUUCUCCAGUCCGGCCGUUAAAUAGCCGGACACAGCAAAACGCGCCUGAAGCCAUACCAACCAAGACCACCUGGCGCGAUCAGAGCAUGCGUAGCAAUGCGGCCCCAACCCUCGCCCGCGUAUAAUCGCAAUAAUAACACUCCGCGUACAUCAUUACGCUUUGGAGAUACCAUGGGCAUAGGGGAGGGGACACGACCGCAACGGACCCAGAGUGCGGUUUGACCACACCAGGGGCUCACAAGUGUGCCCCCCUUUAUUUUAUUUUAUUUUCCUUCUUUUACGUACACAGGACUCCGUUAAUCAGAAGCCCUGUCCGGCGGCAAACUUGCCGAACUCAUGAUGCAACAGUCAGGGGCUAAAGAAAGCUGCGACGAACACUCAGGUGGUCUCAAUUACGAGCAUUAAAUUCGAUUAUAUACACCAAGUCCGCAGCUCACCCCUGGAGGGGGACAUGUUUAAUUAGUCCAAAUCCCUUGCUUACCGCACUAUUUGUAUCAGUCCGCACUCAUAGCAGGCUUUCUUUAAUAAAUAAUGCAACACUUCUUCACUGCAAUUACAUUACUUUUUAUAUAUAUGUUCAUUACAUGACAUCUUAUACCCGUAUAUUUUGGUACGGCUGAAUACACCAGGGGCUUACGUUCCCCACAUUAUGGUGUGAUAAGUCGGAACACUUUCACAAGUGCGGCACCCCGAACUUAUAGCAUUAUAUGAAUCGGCUCCGAAUCAUGUCUUGGGUCAAUAGUUGGGUUUGCCCGGCUCCCACGUUUUGGUGCCUUACGUUCUGUUCUGUCGGCUAAGGUGGCACGGGAGAACCACUGCGAUUGCGCCCCGGUUGAGUCGGGCGAGCGCCUCAGUGGAGAAAGCUAAAACUGACCGGCAUGAUAAGGCGAGAGACUGGUCGCUGUUCGAGAGGUUUUUUUUGGGUCCUUAAAGACUCACGCCGCUUCGAGCGAAGUUCCGGACACUGUCCGACGAAGGCGUGGAUAGUGCCCCGGAUUCGGUCUUCCGAAUACCAGGGGCUUCGCCGAAAUUUAAAAUUAUAGAAUUGUAUGGCUAAGUGAGAGUGUUCAAGCAUUAUAAGUCCGGUUGCCUUGUUCGUUGUGUUGAGCGCCUCCCUAGAUGGACCCAACAAUGGGAACAAGAGUGCUCAAGUUUAUCCCGAACACCCCAGCACUUGUGGCUUGGGGGCUGAAGCCAACGACUUGCCAUCUCUCAGAUUUUAUAAACGGCCGCACAGAAGGUAAUAUUUUAAAUUAAAAAAGCGUUGCUCAAAGCGCACAUGAACAAAGUUUCAGCGCAUAGGAUAAUACAUUGCAAAUUCACUCAAAGAUUACAUUUCCGGAGCACUCAUCCGCAAUAGCGCGGGCUCCCUUCAGGACAAUUUUAUAAUACAUUUCGGGCAUGCGAUACUCCUUGCCCGGUGGCGGUGGGUCCGUGAGAAGCUUCUCCGCAUCCAACCUGCCCCACUGCACCUUUGUGCGGGCAAGGGCCCGGCGAGCGCCUUCAAUACAGGCGGAGCGCUUGAUGACAUCGACCCAGGGGCAGGCAUCCACCAGCCGCCGCACGAGGCCAAAGUAGCUUCCGGGCAUGGCCUGUCCAGGCCACAGCCGAACUAUCAGGCCCUUCAUGGCCUCUUCAGCUACCUUGUGGAGUUCGACCAGCUGCUUCAGCUGGUCGCUUGGGGGCACCGGAUGGCCGGCCUUAGCGUACUGAGACCAGAAGACCUUCUCCGUCGAGCUCCCCUCCUCGCCACGAUAGAAUGCGGCGGCAUCAGACACACUACGCGGCAGAUCUGCAAACACCCCUGGAGAGCUCCGAACGUGGGUAAGUGUCAGGUAUUUUACAUUAACACGCUUGCUUUGCAUGAAAAAUGCCUUACCCGCCGCUAUCUUCUUUACAUCUUCCACCUCCUGAAGGGCCUUAUUGGCCUCGGCCUUGGCGGACUUGGCACUUUCGAGAGCCGAGGCAAGCUCGGACUCUCGAGUCUUGGAGUCACGCUCCAAACUCUCAUGCUUUUCCAUGAGAGCCUGGAGCUCUUGCCGAACUUCCGCCACCCGUGCCUCCUGCUUUUCUUUCUCUGCCCGUUCCGCGGCCGCACUGCGUUCGGCCGCGGACACAGCCUCCUUCAGGGCUGCCACCUCGUUAGUGGCCCCUGCAAUACACAUAUUAUCCUUGUUAAUUUUAUUGCAACCAAAAUCCUUUUCUGUAAGGUAACCAUUCAAAGUGGUGUGACUCACCUUCUUUGUCCUCGAGCUGCUUCUUGGCAUGGCCGAGCUCUUGCUCGGACCGCUCGAGAUCCUUUUUCAGUACAUCGACCUCCGCCGUUAGUGCGGCAGAGGUCAGCAGCGCAGCCUGCAAACCCAUAUUGACAUAUGUUAAGCAACCCUGCGUAUAUCUUGUUAGAUCCUCAGUCCAGCUUUUCUUUCCGAACACCGAACUGAGCAUCAGGGGCUACUGUCUAUGCGGUAUUACAUUACAUAAUUUUAACUUCUUACCUCAAAGCCUGUUAGAAGGCUGCUGCAGGCUUCGGUCAGCCCGCUUCUGGCGAGCUGAACCUUGUGAAUCACCGCACUCAUGAUAGUGCGGUGUUCUUCCUCGAUGGAAGCGCCUUUAAGCGCCUCCAGCAAGUUAUCCGGCGCCUCCGGUUGGACGGAGGCCGCUGGUGUCACGGUCUUGCCCUUCUUUCGAAGGGGCCGCUUGCCGGACUCUGGAACCACUGCGGGUUCCGUUAUAGAGUCCGGCGCAAAGUCCGGGAUGCUGCCUGACGGCGCCCCCGGAGCCUCCUCCUGAUGGGUCCCUCUCUGGGAUCCCACCUCGGCGUCCUCGUUGGCGCGUGGGGUAGAGGCAGCCGGAAGUGAAUCCACCUCCGACGGGGCCAAUGACCCGCUCGAUGAGUCGGGGAGAUCAUCACCAGCCGGACUAUGGACCGAAUGCGGCGUUAGAAGGACACUACGCGACAUAAAAGAUAUUGCAUAUCAAGGAUCCGGAUACUUAUGAUCUUGCCGGACGCUUGGCCCUUGGAGGCCACUCCUCCUCGCCAACGUUGGUGUUGGCGAAACUGUCCGGGGGGAUAGUCCUCCCCCUCUUGGACCCUUCGGCCUCCCCUAUUGGGGAAGCCUUCCUCUUCUUCUCUCCCUCUUCUGGGAGAGAAUCCUCCUCCUCCUCCUCGUCUUCGGGGGAGGAUUCCGCCUCGUCGUCGGACACCUGAUUGCGGGAACUCUUUCGAGUCCCCGCGGCCACCUUCUUGGCCUUCUUCUCCGGCACCACGUGCGAUGCCGGAACCAGCAGCCCUGCUAAACGGGCGUUCACUGGGUCUUCUGGCAUAGGAGCCGGGCUGAUAAGUAGCUUGGCCUUCUCCAGCCAUUCCUGUCAAAGGAAGAGACAGAAUGAAACCCUUCUAGAAUCAAUUUAAUUACCACAAGUGUCCCGUAAAGGGGUUGAAUCACUUACCUUGUCAGCCGGAUGCUGCGAGCGAAAUCCGCGAUCUUCUGUCGCGGAUGUGGGGGCUUCGGCGCCCUUAAACAGCACCCUCCAGGCGCCUUUGUAUGUCGUACCGAAGAGCCCGCUCAGCGCCUGGUGCUGUUCCGGAUUGAACUCCCACAGAUUAAAUGCCCGUUCUUGGCAUGGGAGAAUCCGGCGGACGAGCAUGACUUGGACCACGCCAACGAGUCUGAGCUUGCCGCUCACCAGCUUCUGGAUGCAGACUCGGAGUCCCGUCAGCUCCUUCGAAUUGCCCCACAACAAGCCCUUCUCUUUCCAGGAGGUGAGCUGCGUGGGGACGCCAGAUCUAAACUCGGGGGCCGCCGCCCUUGUGGGCUUGCGCGGCUCGGUGAUGUAGAACCACCUCGAUUGCCACCCCUUGAUGGAGUCCACGAAGGCCCCUUCGAGCCAAAGGACGUUGGGUAAUUUACCCAACAUGGCACCUCUGCAUUCCGCUUGCGUGCCCUUCACAACCUUCGGCUUGACGUUGAAGGUCUUGAGCCACAGGCCGAAGUGGGGCCGGAUGCAGAGGAAAGCCUCGCACACGACGAUGAACGCCGAGAUGUUGAGGAUGAAGUUCGGCGCCAGAUCGUGGAAAUCUAGGCCGUAAUAGAACAUGAGCCCCCGGACGAAUGGAUGGAGCGGAAAGCCCAGUCCGCGGAGGAAGUGGGGGAGGAAGACAACCCUCUCAUGGGGCCCAGGGGUAGGGAUGAGCUGCCCCUCGUCGGGCAGCCGAUGCGCGAUAUCGCCGGAAAGAUAUCCGACGUUGCGCAGAUUGGUGAUGUGCUCCUCCUUAACGGUGGAGGCCAACCAUUUGCCUCCCGCUCCGGACAUAUUCGGAGAAGGUCGAGGCUAGAUGCGCGAGCUUGGGCGUUGGAGCUUGAGUGUGCGGAGACGGAUAAGCAAAGGAGGAAGAAGGCGUAGGUGAGAAGGAAAAUCCUUAUCCCUUAUAUAUAGGCGGACGAAACUAUGCGUCCCCCACCGGCUUGGUAAAACUCGCUUAUCUCCCAAGCGCCACCGUCAAUGGCGCGGUUGGGUUACCCACGUCCGUAUUCAUGAGAAUCCCGGAAUAAGGGGAACACGAUCUCUGCUUCGACAAGACGUGCCAAGGAAACCGCUUCGCUAAACGUGCUGAGGUGGUAUAGUAAAAAACAAUUCAAACAAAGGCUUGGUAGCGGUGUGAUGUCACGCCGCAUAAUACGUCAGCAGAUUGGACUAGUGUACAUUUUAUUCUCUCUACGGUGGGAUGUGGAAUUUAUUUUGCAGAGCCGGACACUAUCCUGGUGUUCAUGAUCUUCUCUGGAUUAUUCAAGGGAGGAACCCGCCUUGCAACGCCGAACAUUAUGCGCGCCGGACUUAUCGUCAUUGAAGCCUGGUUCAGGGGCUACUGAGGGAGUCCUGGACUAGGGGGUGUCCGGACAGCCGGACUAUCAUCGUCCGCCGGACUCCAAGACUACGAAGAUACAAUUGAAUACUCCGUCCCGUGUCCGGAUGGGACUUUCCUUGGCGUGGAAGGCAAGCUUGGCGAUACGGAUAUGUAGAUCUCCUACCAUUGUAACCGACUCUGUGUAACCCUAGCCUCCUCCGGUGUCUAUAUAAACCGGAGGGCUUUAGUCCGUAGGACACAACAUACAUUACAACAAUCAUACCAUAGGCUAGCUUCUAGGGUUUAGCCUCCUUGAUCUCGUGGUAGAUCCACUCUUGUACUACCCAUAUCAUCAAUAUUAAUCAAGCAAGACGUAGGGUUUUACCUCCAUCGAGAGGGCCCGAACCUGGGUAAAACAUCCUGUCCCUUGUCUCCUGUUACCAUCCGCCUAGACGCACAGUUCGGGACCCCCUACCCGAGAUCCGCCGGUUUUGACACCGACAGUAUGCACCUGAGGAAGUGUCCACCGACGCCAAGAAGCAGGCGAGGUUCCGAAAGGGACUUAGCCCCAAGCUUCGCCGUGAUCUCCGUCUACACGAGUGCACCUCCUUCCAGAAGCUUGUGAACAAAGCCAUCAGUGCUGAAACGGGCCAGACUGACUAUGAAGCUACAUGCAAGCAUUCCCGUGAUUUUGGUUCUUCAUCCGGUUCUGGCUCUCAGAAGCGCCGGGUGUGGAUUUCAAACAGAACUUUGCCAACCAGGUUCACUCCGAGGCCAUCCUAUGAGGCGCCUCGUCCAACCUAGCAGUAUGCACCGCCUAAGACUUACGGUGGACCAGCCGCCAAUGCUGCCCCAUGCACUAACACUGUGAAAUGCUUCAAGUGCGGAGAGCCAGGUCACUACCUUCGAGAGUGUCCCCAUAAAUACAACCCCAACCAGCCUAGAAAGUCCGUUGGCCGUGGUAAACCAGCGGGGAAGGUGUCCUAUGCCAAGCCAGCCACCACUGCACGUGGCCAUGUCAACUAUGUCUCAGCCGAGGAGGCUCAUGAUGAUCCCAACGUCGUUCUUGGUACGCUCCUUGUUAAUUGUCAUCUGGCAUCUGUUCUUUUAUGAGAGCUAUGCUCGAUUGCACAACACAAAAUUCGGUGACAUGCCCACCACCAUGGAAAUUCAAACUCCUGGCUCUAGAUGGCAAACUUCUAGAGUAAGCCAUGGGAAUGAAAUUCUUGUCGAUAGACUGGUUUUCCUUGCAUCUUUGAUAGCUCUCAAGUCCUCGGACAUAAACAUCAUCUUGGGUAUGGACUGGAUGUCAGCCGAUUAUGCUAAGAUUGAUUGUGCCACUAGAACUGUUCAACUUACACAUCCAUCGGGCAAGACAGUCAAUGUGUUAACCCGAGUGUCUAAGCAUCAGCUCUACUCUCUCAAUGCCAGUCCUCUUCCAGACCUCGAAGACAUACCGGUAGUCCAUGAUUUUCUGGAUGUCUUUCCAGAAGAACUACCAGGUGUUCCACCUAACAGAGAUGUCGAGUUCGUAAUAGAUCUUAUUCCAGGAACUGUCCCAAUCUCUAGAAGACCCUAUAAGAUGGCACCCCUAGAACUAGCUGAGCUUAAGAAACAACUCGAUGAGUCCUUGAAAAAGGGUUUCAUCCGUCCUAGUUCUUCCCCAUGGGCUUGUCCCGUCCUCUUCGCCAAGAAGAAGGAUGGUACGGAUCGGAUGGUUGUAGAUUAUUGACCCGUCAACUUGAUCACAAUAAAGAACAAGUAUCCGCUCCCCAGGAUCAACGACCUGUAUGAUCAGCUAGCUGGAUCCUCAGACUUCUCUAAGAUGGAUUUGAGCUUGGGCUACCAUCAAAUCAAAAUCAAGAACGAGGACAUUCCCAAAAUGGCCUUUGUUACUCGUUAUGGCCAAUACGAGUACACUGUCAUGUCCUUAGGUUUAACCAAUGCCCCAGCCACUUUCUCUCGGUUAAUGAACUCGAUCUUCAUGGAGUAUUUGGAUAAGUUCGUCGUGGUUUACCUCGAUAAUAUACUCAUCUACUCCAAGAAUGAGGAAGAACACGCCAAGCAUCUAAGGCUAGUGUUGAUGAAACUUCGAGAGCACCGCCUUUAUGCCAAAUUUUCUAAGUGUGAAUUCUGGUUGCCAGAAGUAACCUACCUAGGCCAUUUAAUAUCUGGUAAGGGUAUUGCUGUCAAUCCCGAGCGAGUUCAGGCCGUUCUUAAUUGGACACCACCUGAAUCAGUCAAGCAAGCUCGGAGUUUCCUUGGCUUAGCGAGCUAUUGUCGCUGCUUUCACUACACCAUGACACUACAAAGACGACAUGCGGCUGUUGGUAAAAGUGAGCAUCGCCGACACUUUUUUUGGCCGAAACUAUUCCAACACACAGCAUGUCAGUGUUAGAUAAGCUCAUGUCACAUUAUCUGUCACCAAAGCACCAUGGAAUCACCGACGUAAUUUCUGUCGGCGUAUGAAGUCUUUAGUGAUUGUUUGUGUGUCGCCGAUUCAUGAGGACACAAAAAGUGUUGGCAUUGUUUGCUUCGGCCCAUAUAAAAAAAUUGGCGCUGAAAGAAGGCCAUGCGCACGCUAUGUGAAACACUCAUUCGGGGCGGACUAGCAAAAAAAACACGCAUCUCUAUCGCCCCCUCACACAGAAAUACCAACCUCACCUCUCUCCUCUCGUCACCCACACCCUAAACCUAACCCGAUUCCGCCGCCGCCGCCCCCGCCCGUCUGCGCCGCGGCCCCCGACCUGCGCGCCGCCGCCCUUCCACUGGUCCCCUCGCGCCACAUCAUCCCGACCCCAACCUCCCUCUAGCCCACAGUGCACCAUCCUCCCAGUUGCAGCAAGCCGUCCACCGCGGCAGGAGCAGCAGCGGCACCGAGGAGAAGCAGCGCCGUCAACCACCACCGGAUAGAUGCAGCAGCACCUUCCACCAGUGAGGAGAAGCAGUACCGUCAGCCAUGGAGGAUCCACCGUGGUUCUUCCUCCAUCGGCAAUGUCUGUUCCUGCGGAUCUUCUUUCCUCCGCCCAGCCUACAAAAUUCAAGAGGUAAGCUUUUGCCCCCAUUUUACUGAACUGAAACUGAAACAGAUAGAUCUAUCUUGCAGUGGUUAUUUUAGUUCAUCACAGAUAGAUCUCUGUUGCAAUCACAUGAACACAUCAGUUUUAAGCUGAAGCAAAUUAUUGUAGAUGUGUUUUGAAAAUCUUAAUUUGAUCAAACAAAGCCACUGGAAAAAAACUUUUUGUGUCCCCACGUGGAUGUGCUUUUUGUCUCUACAUGGAUCGAAAUUCAUAUCGCUCUAUAAUGCCCUGCUCAGGGGAGAUCGGGAUGCUGCGCGCCGCGCCCUGCUUGGAUCUGAUGGAGCGGGCGAGGUAGUGGUCGGGGCAUGGGAUGGCGCCUUCGUCGUCAGACCAUUGGGAUUCAGCAUAUUUCUGCAGUCUUCUUCAGAGAUCAGGAGGGUUCGAUUCAACACAAUUCCGGGCUUGGGUUCCUCUCAAACAAAAUCAUCUCGACAGCAUUCCUCUUUUUUGCUUCUUAUUAGUCAAACUCUGAAAUCAAUUUCUAUAUUUUAGUGGGUACUUAAUUGAUUUGAUAGGCUAUAUCUACGUGUGAUGCAUCAACUAGGCUUUGUAAAUGGAUACAUAGUGUUUUCUGGUUAUUUUCUUCAAUAAUUAUGUGUUCCCAUUUCUCCCACUCAACAUGUUACAGAAUUUAGUGAUUAACAUUUAUCUACCGAAUUACAAUUCAGUCAAGCAUUACAAUCUUUAUGCCAAAACUAAACAAUAGAACAAAGUCUGCGUGGGAUUUGUAUUGCCAGCUAUGGCUUCAAAAAACAAAACCAAUAGUAAGUUAUUUAUGUACUAAUUCCCCUAAUGAUAUUAGCAUAUGUUGUUUGAAUUUAACUAUUGAAGAGCACAUGAAUGGUACUAGCAUCUAGGAUUGAGGGAUUAAAAGUUUACAAAAUUUCAAAGAAAUUGUAUGUUGGUUUCAUCUCUUUGUUGUUCUGAAAUUGCCGCCCUUGUUGAAUUGUUCUCUAUCACAUCUAAAGCAAAAUUUUACAGUUAGCAUAUGUGAUGGACUAUAUUUUUAAUUGGGGCUCGAGUAUAAUGGACUGGGAAUCAUUCUCUUAAUGAUCUGGUACUCUUGAACUCGUGCAUGAAACGUGCUUUUGUCAUAUAUAUUUCUCCCGAGGUUUGUGGGGAAUAAGAAAUUUAGAUAAAGAUAUGAUAUCUACACAUAUAGUAUAUCUUAAAGUCUGAAAGUCAGUCUUUCACUGUCCCUUUGAGCCUUCUUCCCAACCUUUGAGGAUGUACAUAGCACCCUGCAGAGGUAACUUUUUUUAGAUGUGUAGAGCACUUCUUGAUGUUCAUCUUACCAGCUAGAUCUCACAUGUAACAACUAUGUGGUAGAAUAAACUUUUGCAAACACAAGAAAAAAUUGCAUUCUGCUGGAUUUUCUGUUACAGUUUUCAUGUUGUUUUUUUCCUGUUGAGGGGGACUAUUCAAAUAUACUGAUGGUCUAAAAAAACCUAUGUAUACAUUAACAUAAAACAAUUAUGCAGAAAGUGGACCUUUUUAAGUUCAGGAAAACCGCUUGAUGUCAUUUCACUCGGUAAAUGUCAGUCUGGUUUAGUGUUCUCUAAAGCUAUUUGACCCCAGCUACAUGGUCCAGUAGCAAUAACAGCCACAUGAUGGCCAAUUCAGAAAUACCUUUAGUGAUAUGUUGGAGUACAACCACAUGGUUAGAGUUUCCAUGUUAAAUCACUCCUUUCUUUUAUUAAUACUUAUUUGGUGAAGUUCUUGGCUGCAAUAUUACAAAUUUCAUGUGAAUGCUGUAUUGAAAAGAGAGGUGGAGCUUGCUUGUGGAUAUGAUGGAAUGCAAACAAUGGGCGAUGCUCACCACAUGUCCAUUGCAUGGCUAUCAAAUAGGGUAAAAAUAUAUUUUAUACAUUUUCCUAUUCUGGCGUAAACUAUCACCUGAUGCAAACUAAUUGUUAUUUUUGUUGAUCAAACCUUGCACCAAGUCAUGGUUGUCGUCAUCGCAGAGUUCAGUUAUUAUUCCUGUCAACAUCACCAUGUUCUAUCUGACACUUGGAACUGAGAGCAAGUAGUAUACCACUACCAGUACCUCUAGUAGUGUGGAUCAACAUGUUUUUGCAAUUCUGUUUUCGAAAGUAUUUUAUUUUCAUUCAUCUAGUAUUGUGGAUCGGCAUGUUUUGUCUAGUUUAUAUUACAUCUGUUUGUGACCUGGUACAUCUAUUUCUGACCUGUUUGUGUCCUGGUGCAAUCUUCAAUGCUUUUUUCUAUUUCUCGUUCCUCGUUCUGUCCUAUGGAGAAUGGGGAAAACAUGUGAAAGCUCAAGAUCUUUCUGUAACUAAAAGUUCUAUCAUAUGCACUAGUUCAAUCCCAUUAAAGUUCCACUAAUGCGCUAAAAUUUAUCAUUCCUGCUAUUGAUUCCUAGAAUUUACUGGCCUUAUCUCUCCUCCUGAAUCUUUGGUUGAUUGUUCCUCCUAUACUGGAUCAUAUUUACUGGCCUUAUCUCUCCACAUGAAUCUUUGGCUCCCCUGCUAUUUGAUGUUGAAGAACUAACAAGUACUGAUGGUUUCCUUAGGUAGGAAACAUCAUUUUGCACUAUAUCAUCUCUUUUGGACUGAAAAUAUAGAACAUAAUUGUUUUGUACAGAACUUUUAGCAGCAGUCACCACACUAUUUUUUAUCAUCUCUUUUGGACUGAAAUAAAUAACAUUUUGUACAGUAUAUAACUAGCUAUGAGGAUGUUGAUUGUUGUUGCACAGGAAACGACAUUACAUAAUAAAAAUAUUCUUUGAGUUCUUAUUAUGGACUGACCUGGUACUGUAGCUUAGGGUUGUGUGUCAGAUUGAUAUAUUAUGGAAACCCCGCUCCCGAGCAGGCCUAGUACAAGAAUUAGUAAAACUUAUUGUUAAGCAAAAUGGUUUGCACGUCACUAACUUGGUAUAGAUCCACAACAAAACUCUAACAUUGCUGAGAAUAGGUUCGGAUGCAAUACAGUCCAGAAAAUCACGUCUCUUCCAUCCUGCCCUCAUUUUGUUGCAUGUCCUUCUCAUUUUCUAAAAUUGCUCAAAGAUACAAGUUCUUUUGCAGGGACAAAUGGGAGAAAGUACCAUGUACUGAAGUUGAUCUAGGAUGUUUUGUUGUUCAUAUGGAAGUUGAUGUCGGCUUGAUCAAAGACCGGGUAUCUCCCAUAAUAUUUUGUAGUAGCCAAGUGAUCGAACAUUUGGUCUCUUGAGAACUUGCUCAUCAUAUUUUGUAACUGGCCAUGACCUGAAUGCCGACUUGUAUUUUUCCUUAAUGGCUGGAGCUAACUUGAGUGAAGAAAACUAGUGAAUCUUCUAUAUAUGUUGAAUGAAUGCAUUGGAUGUUAUCUUGUGAUGAAUGGAAGAGUGCAAUUGGAAUAUUCUAUAUAUGUUGAAUGAAUGCAUGCAUUUGCAUGUUAUCUUGUGAUAAAUGGAAUAGUGCAAUUGUAUUGCGUACUGAAAUGAUUUGAAUAAUAUGAUUUUGAUUGUAUUGCGUACUGGCAGAUAAAGUGUCGGCAUAGAAAUGGCCGUUGCACUAUC
This 40378-nucleotide long non-coding RNA is filed under the name Triticum aestivum (bread wheat). RNAcentral describes it as "long non-coding RNA (TAES_LNC022876)". The record is from RNAcentral. Lineage: Eukaryota; Viridiplantae; Streptophyta; Magnoliopsida; Poales; Poaceae.